UCCAGAAAAAUUAUAUUCAGGGACUCUCAACUCCUGGACGAUUCAACAGGAUUGGAAUUGCUACACAAUUUUUACUGACCUUCUAGGCUGUGUUCUGGAACCCACAUUCUUGACAAUGCAUUUCCAAGUUAACCAUGAUAAACAUACAGCCCUUCAAACUUUAGUUGUGACCAAAAAAUAUGUGGGGAGCAGCUGGUGGUUGUUCAUCUCUCUGGCAUAAUUGACAAUGAAUAUUUGAAAAAGUGCAAUGCAGCAAACUGUAAAGUCUUGGGUAUUGAUACAGAUGAACCUGCAAUGCAGAUAGAUAGAAUGGUUUUCAGUGGAAGUUACAAUGAAUCUAUUGGCACAAACAUUAUUUUUGAAGAAAACUGUGAAAUGGUGCAUGGUGAGACUGAAAAGAAUUCAAAAUACAUGUGUCAUACCACCAAAAACCUUGACAUGAUUCGAGUGUUUUUGAAGAAUACCCAAAAUGAAAAAAAUUCUGAAUUGGGAGAAGAAUCUGGAGAAAUAAAAGCCACACAUGGCACAGAGGAGGAAAGAACUCAGGACAUGAUAGGAUCACAAGAACAUAGCUCGAUUUUGGAGUGAUCCUCAUAUAUGUCAAUAAGAAAUCAACUAGUACUUGUGAAUACAUGGAUUUUAGCGGAUCACUAGUGGUACAUCAGUAUAUACCCAGGUGUGUGGCAGCGUGACCAGAUCUGAUAAAUUUUAUAACCAUAUACGGUUGGCCGGGUUGGAUGCACAAAUUUAUACUGGGAAGGGAAAGCCUAACUAGAUUUGAGCAGCUAUAUUGUUUUAAAAUUAUUCAUAUAUGGUCACACUGCUAUGUGGACACGAGGUUUGAGUUGGCUGAGUAAAUAUGGAUGAAAUCACAUGCAUGUUGAAUAUUGCCCAGUGAAAUGAGAUGCACGCUGCAUGCGUGCACUAGAAAAGUAUACUAGUUAAUACUGAAAAGUAGUUACAUAUAGUUAUGUUGCUAAACACAUCUCUGAAAACUUCAAUUCCUAAGUUGUCCAAACCAUAGUUGUGUUGUAGAAUUUACAUUUUGGGAGCAA
This 1055-nucleotide unclassified non-coding RNA is filed under the name Dendronephthya gigantea. Its description in RNAcentral is "general transcription factor 3C polypeptide 6-like, transcript variant X2". Lineage: Eukaryota; Metazoa; Cnidaria; Anthozoa; Malacalcyonacea; Nephtheidae. The record is from RNAcentral.